Molecule: microRNA precursor, 62 nt
Filed under: Oreochromis niloticus (Nile tilapia)
Lineage: Eukaryota; Metazoa; Chordata; Actinopteri; Cichliformes; Cichlidae
Description: microRNA oni-mir-10677 precursor
Source: miRBase by way of RNAcentral
UGCCAAAAGAUUCCUAGAAUUACAAUUAAAUAAAUAAAAAUUCUGGAAAUGAUCUUGGCUCU